UGCGCGGUGGUGUAACGGUAACACAGCAGUCUCAUAAGCUGCAAGCUGCGGGUUCGACUCCCGUCUGCGCUAC
Molecule: transfer RNA, 73 nt
Filed under: Streptomyces phage FlowerPower
Lineage: Duplodnaviria; Heunggongvirae; Uroviricota; Caudoviricetes
Also listed under: 5 other names
Description: tRNA-Met
Rfam family: tRNA
About the family: Transfer RNA (tRNA) molecules are approximately 80 nucleotides in length. Their secondary structure includes four short double-helical elements and three loops (D, anti-codon, and T loops).
Source: RNAcentral